AUGGGAGGGACACUCAGAGACGGUUACAGGACCAGUACCAGCACUUGUCAUCACCAAUCAGCUCCAUGGCGUUUUGGCUGCAAAGUACAAGAACAGCAUUUUGAAGGUCACAUACCACCCAGCGGAACUAGGGCUAUCAGCAUACUCAGACAUGUCAAUGGAAGGAAACAAACCAGGAUGCUAACAGAGUCUGGCUGCAUGAAGAAAGGACACAGUGGCUUUUCAAGUUACCCUCUUAUGAAUGCUCAGCCCUCACACAUUUCUACGUGGCAGGACCAAGCUGUUCCUCAGAUCUUUGUUUCAUAA
Molecule: long non-coding RNA, 306 nt
Filed under: Capra hircus (goat)
Lineage: Eukaryota; Metazoa; Chordata; Mammalia; Artiodactyla; Bovidae
Description: lncRNA (ENSCHIG00010016816.1)
Source: RNAcentral